This 432-nucleotide ribosomal RNA is filed under the name uncultured bacterium. RNAcentral describes it as "partial 16S ribosomal RNA". It matches the Rfam family "Bacterial small subunit ribosomal RNA", at positions 29 to 506 of the family's 1533-position model. The record is from RNAcentral.
AACGAACGCUGGCGGCAUGCCUAACACAUGCCAGUCGAACGAGACCUUCGGGUCUAGUGGCGCACGGGUGCGUAACGCGUGGGAACCUGCCCUUAGGUUCGGAAUAACUCCCCGAAAGGGGUGCUAAUACCGGAUAAUGUCUUCGGACCAAAGAUUUAUCGCCUUUGGAUGGGCCCGCGUUGGAUUAGCUAGUUGGUAGGGUAAAAGCCUACCAAGGCGACGAUCCAUAGCUGGUCUGAGAGGAUGAUCAGCCACACUGGGACUGAGACACGGCCCAGACUCCUACGGGAGGCAGCAGUGGGGAAUAUUGGACAAUGGGCGAAAGCCUGAUCCAGCAAUGCCGCGUGAGUGAUGAAGGCCUUAGGGUUGUAAAGCUCUUUUACCCGGGAUGAUAAUGUCAGUACCGGGAGAAUAAGCUCCGGCUAACUCCGU